GUGCCAUGCUGUGAGGAAGACAGGCAAGCGCUCUCCCAGACCAGCACCAACAUCAGAAUGACUUACACUUGUCUCAGGUGAGGAAGCCGCGGAGGCCUGGCUUACUGGACACAGCCUUACAAAUUCUCUUUGGACGUGGAUUCUUGUGAGGUCCUCAACCUGGUGACCUCCGAUGGUGAGCCGUUCAUGACGGCUCUAUGGCAACACAGCCUUCAAAUCUCAAGUUUUAUUUUUCUCCUGUGUCACAUGGAGCUUGCGGGCUUGGGACUGGAGACACUGCUUAUUGCAGAAAAGGAGCUCUGGGAGGAUAAAGCGCUCUGACUUCCUUUAGUCACCGGGCCCCACCCAGCGCGGGGCCAGACAGCAGGGAGCCCGGACUCGCUGGUGACCACGAGGGGUUGCUUGCUUCUCAUGGCCUGGUGAGGGGCACUCUCAGCUGUGUCCACUCUGUCCCAGAUGUCCUUUCCAGAUGUCCAGCGACUGGGCCCCUGGCUCGGGAACUGCCCUCUUUCACCGGAUGACGCCCACAGAGAACGUCACAGUGGGGUCUGCAGCUGGAGGCUGCAGCCUCGAGACGAGCCUGGGCCUCUGCAGAGCCGAGAGGGCAGGAGCGGGGUUGGCGGUGGCUUCCCCUCAGCUCAACCCAGCCUUGGAAGAUCAGGUGAGGGUCGGUCUGGCCCGCGGUGAACAGCAGCACCUUUAACCCUUGACUUCGCGCACGAAGAUGCGAUUGAUCAUUUCCAGGUCCCCUUCUGAGAAUCGGAAACCUAGGUUCAGUUUAAGCGCGGUGGAGAGAGUGAGUCCUUCCACGGCGAGUGCCACGCUACUCUCAGAGAACAGUCUGCCUAGCUGUCCCUCUUCAGAUGCCAAGUUCGGGUUCAGACAUCUCAUCUUUGCAUCCAACUAUGCCGCUGGAGAAUGUAACUCCGCCUGCAGAGUUGGCCAGGUGGGAGGCAGCUUCCACCGAAGUCUUCCUGGAGGAGCAGGGAUUCCCAGAGUCCUUGUCACGCACCGACCCAUUGGGUUGGAGCCAUCUUCUCUGUACGUGGCUUCUCCUUGUCCUGUUUCGUCCAGACUCAGGUGUCCCCUCUUCAGGACUGUCUUUCGUCUCCCAGCUGAACUAACUCCUUUCCCAUUUGCUUCUCGCUGUCUUUAAGUACCUGGUUUAUUCCUCUGGAGACUUCUUCCCAUCAGAUCAAAGCUCCACAAGGCCCAGGGCCCUCCUCUGUCCUGGUCAACACGCCAGCGCAGCGUGUCGUACAUACUAAAUUUUCCAUCAGUAUAUUGAAUGCGUGCAAGAGUGGGUGAAGUCACUCACACAUCCUAUCUCCGUGUAGGAUGGGACCUUGGUUCUUUCACUGACAGGUCACUCAUUAUCCCUCAUUUAGGUGCUUCUCAUUCGGGGCUGACAACACUCUUGAGGAAAACAAAACCUUCAGCGGGGAUUGCUGGGCCUGGGAACACGAAUCCUGCAGCCUCCAGCACCUUCUGUAGGGCUGACUGAAGUGUCCUUACUGUCUCCUCCCUGGAUGGGUCCCCAAGCAGACUGUGAGCUUCUCACGGCCUUGAUUUGCUGUCUCACUUCCCUGGCAGCCUGGGUCACUCAGAAAAUACCUGUAGCUCAUCCAGCUGUGAUUGUCUUAAAACUCAUAACCAUCCAAAAAUAAUAAUUAAAAAACCCUCAUAACCUUCUAGACCUAGAUAGAGUCAAGCAGCUCUCUGACCGUCAGCAUUUACCUGUGCCAAACUUGCAGUGAUACAGUGGACAGGAAUUAGAUCUCGGAGUCAGUUGGUUUGGCCUUGAGUUCUGGCCUGUUACUGUGACUUCAAGAAGGUCACCCAACUUAUUCAAGACUCGGUUUCCUCAUCCAUAAGUGGGCGUAAUAAUAGCACUUCACUUGUGUGGGUUCUGAUAGAGGAAGGUGUCCUGGGCAGGCCUGGGCACUGAAGAGACAGAGAGAAUGACUUUCACUGUGUUGUCCUACUACACGUGCUUUUCUUUCUGUUCCUUCCUUCCUCUCUCUUCCUUGUUCUUUUUUUCUGCCUGCCUUCCCUCUCUUUCCCUCCCUCUCCCCCUCCUCCCCACCACCAUACUUGGAGCAGUAUGCGGUGGUGCGUGCCUGCAAUCUCCGCACUCUAGGAGGUUCAAGUCCAGCUUGGGUAGCUGAGGAAGAUCCUGCCUCCAAAUAAAAAAUAAAAGAAGUCUGCCGUAAUAGCAGUACUCACUCUGGGAAAU
Molecule: long non-coding RNA, 2236 nt
Organism: Fukomys damarensis (Damara mole-rat)
Lineage: Eukaryota; Metazoa; Chordata; Mammalia; Rodentia; Bathyergidae
Source: Ensembl